RNAcentral lists this ribosomal RNA (402 nucleotides) under uncultured bacterium. RNAcentral describes it as "bacterial SSU rRNA". It matches the Rfam family "Bacterial small subunit ribosomal RNA", at positions 362 to 757 of the family's 1533-position model. The record is from RNAcentral.
UUUUGGACAAUGGGGGCAACCCUGAUCCAGCAAUGCCGCGUGAGUGAAGAAGGCCUUCGGGUUGUAAAGCUCUUUUGUCAGGGAACAAACACCGGCUCUAACACAGUCCGGGAAUGACGGUACCUGAAGAAUAAGCACCGGCUAACUACGUGCCAGCAGCCGCGGUAAUACGUAGGGUGCGAGCGUUAAUCGGAAUUACUGGGCGUAAAGCGUGCGCAGGCGGUUAUACAAGACAGGCGUGAAAUCCCCGGGCUUAACCUGGGAGUGGCGCCUGUGACUGUAUAGCUAGAGUGUGUCAGAGGGGGGUAGAAUUCCACGUGUAGCAGUGAAAUGCGUAGAUAUGUGGAGGAAUACCAAUGGCGAAGGCAGCCCCCUGGGAUAACACUGACGCUCAUGCACGAG